AGAGCGAACGCUGGCGGCAGGCCUAACACAUGCAAGUCGAACGGACCCUUCGGGGUUAGUGGCGGACGGGUGAGUAACACGUGGGAACGUGCCUUUUGGUUCGGGAUAGCUCCUGGAAACGGGUGGUAAUGCCGAAUGUGCCCUUCGGGGGAAAGAUUUAUCGCCAUUAGAGCGGCCCGCGUCUGAUUAGCUAGUUGGUGAGGUAAAGGCUCACCAAGGCUACGAUCAGUAGCUGGUCUGAGAGGAUGACCAGCCACAUUGGGACUGAGACACGGCCCAAACUCCUACGGGAGGCAGCAGUGGGGAAUCUUGCGCAAUGGGCGAAAGCCUGACGCAGCCAUGCCGCGUGAAUGAUGAAGGUCUAGGAUUGUAAAAUUCUUUCACCGGGGACAUAAUGACGGUACCCGGAGAAGAAGCCCCGGCUAACUUCGUGCCAGCAGCCGC
RNAcentral lists this ribosomal RNA (444 nucleotides) under uncultured soil bacterium. RNAcentral's name for it is "bacterial SSU rRNA". It matches the Rfam family "Bacterial small subunit ribosomal RNA", at positions 26 to 518 of the family's 1533-position model. The record is from RNAcentral.